AAAGUUGUUGCAGUUAAAAAGCUCGUAGUUGGAUUUCGGGACGGCACGGUCGGUCCGCCGCAAGGUGUGUCACUGGCCGGGCUGUUCUUCCUCGCAAAGACUGCGUGUGCUCUUAGCUGAGUGUGCGGAGGACUUGCGACGUUUACUUUGAAAAAAUUAGAGUGUUCAAAGCAGGCCAUCGCUUGAAUACAUAAGCAUGGAAUAAUGGAAUAGGACUUUGGUUCUAUUUUGUUGGUUUCUGGAACCGAAGUAAUGAUUAAGAGGGACAGUUGGGGGCAUUCGUAUUUCGUUGUCAGAGGUGAAAUUCUUGGAUUUACGAAAGACGAACUACUGCGAAAGCAUUUGCCAAGAAUGUUUUCAUUAAUCAAGAACGAAAGUUAGAGGAUCGAAGACGAUCAGAUACCGUCCUAGUUCUAACCAUAAACGAUGCCGACUAGGGAUCAGAGAGUGUUAUUGGAUGACCUCUUUGGCACCUUAUGGGAAACCAAAGUUUUUGGGUUCCG
This 503-nucleotide ribosomal RNA is filed under the name Nematostella vectensis (starlet sea anemone). RNAcentral's name for it is "Eukaryotic small subunit ribosomal RNA". It matches the Rfam family "Eukaryotic small subunit ribosomal RNA", at positions 606 to 1116 of the family's 1831-position model. The record is from Rfam by way of RNAcentral. Lineage: Eukaryota; Metazoa; Cnidaria; Anthozoa; Actiniaria; Edwardsiidae.